UGUGGUGGGGUAAAUUGCACUCUAUCGUGGUGCUGGUUGCAGUGGCACAGGCGUCUCGUCCCGCACUUCGCUGGGGACACGAUGUGCACAGGGGCCAUCUGACUCACC
This is a small nucleolar RNA of Oncorhynchus gorbuscha (pink salmon), 108 nucleotides long. RefSeq annotates it as small nucleolar RNA SNORD67. The transcript has a single exon. Lineage: Eukaryota; Metazoa; Chordata; Actinopteri; Salmoniformes; Salmonidae. The record is from RefSeq and is a predicted model, not a curated record.